AACUUCUUCAUCCUAACUCCGAUGAGAUUUAUUCAACUUCCUGGUGAUUCUCCACUAUUUUAUGUAUCGAAAUCAAGCUUCUUACAUCACGAUUCAUCCUGGUUUGUUUAGAAUGACAAAGAAGUUGUUAUAUUCCCAAACAUGAAAACUAGGGAUCACCUGAAUUUAAAGUGGGAAAGCUUCUUCAUCCUAACUCCUAUGAGAUUUAUUCAACUUCCUGGUGGUUCUCCACUACUUUAUGUAUCAAAAUCAAGCUUCGUACAUCGCGAUUCAUCCUGGUUUG
Molecule: long non-coding RNA, 283 nt
Filed under: Brassica napus (rape)
Lineage: Eukaryota; Viridiplantae; Streptophyta; Magnoliopsida; Brassicales; Brassicaceae
Description: long non-coding RNA (BNAP_LNC003233)
Source: RNAcentral